GCAAACUUGGUCAUUUAGAGGAAGUAAAAGUCGUAACAAGGUUUCCGUAGGUGAACCUGCGGAAGGAUCAUUAUUAAAAGGCUUCGGCCAAAACUUGUGCACUGUUUUCUUUUUGGGUUGCUGCAGCGUUAAGCUGCCUCGUUUCAGAGCGGCGCCCAAAGUUUUUCCCAUUUACUGUUUCGAAUGUCAUAAAAUAAAACUGGAAAACUUUCAACAACGGAUCUCUUGGCUCUCGCAUCGAUGAAGAACGCAGC
This 254-nucleotide unclassified non-coding RNA is filed under the name uncultured fungus. Its description in RNAcentral is "partial contains small subunit ribosomal RNA, internal transcribed spacer 1, and 5.8S ribosomal RNA". The stretch from base 1 to 73 matches the Rfam family "Eukaryotic small subunit ribosomal RNA", at positions 1759 to 1831 of the family's 1831-position model. The record is from RNAcentral. Lineage: Eukaryota; Fungi.